This 402-nucleotide ribosomal RNA is filed under the name uncultured bacterium. RNAcentral describes it as "bacterial SSU rRNA". It matches the Rfam family "Bacterial small subunit ribosomal RNA", at positions 355 to 774 of the family's 1533-position model. The record is from RNAcentral.
UGGGGAAUAUUGGACAAUGGGCGAAAGCCUGAUCCAGCCAUGCCGCGUGAGUGACGAAGGCCCUAGGGUUGUAAAGCUCUUUUGUGCGGGAAGAUAAUGACGGUACCGCAAGAAUAAGCCCCGGCUAACUUCGUGCCAGCAGCCGCGGUAAUACGAAGGGGGCUAGCGUUGCUCGGAAUCACUGGGCGUAAAGGGUGCGUAGGCGGGUUUCUAAGUCAGAGGUGAAAGCCUGGAGCUCAACUCCAGAACUGCCUUUGAUACUGGAAGUCUUGAGUUCGGGAGAGGUGAGUGGAACUGCGAGUGUAGAGGUGAAAUUCGUAGAUAUUCGCAAGAACACCAGUGGCGAAGGCGGCUCACUGGCCCGAUACUGACGCUGAGGCACGAAAGCGUGGGGAGCAAACA